UACGUAGGGGGCAAGCGUUAUCCGGAUUUACUGGGUGUAAAGGGAGCGUAGACGGCCUUGCAAGUCUGGUGUGAAAGUCCGGGGCUCAACCCCGGGACUGCAUUGGAAACUGCAUGGCUGGAGUGCAGGAGAGGUAAGCGGAAUUCCUAGUGUAGCGGUGAAAUGCGUAGAUAUUAGGAGGAACACCAGUGGCGAAGGCGGCUUACUGGACUGUAACUGACGUUGAGGCUCGAAAGCGUGGGGAGCAAACAGG
This 253-nucleotide ribosomal RNA is filed under the name uncultured bacterium. RNAcentral's name for it is "partial 16S ribosomal RNA". It matches the Rfam family "Bacterial small subunit ribosomal RNA", at positions 524 to 776 of the family's 1533-position model. The record is from RNAcentral.